UACACUCCUACGGGAGGCAGCAGUGGGGAAUUUUGGACAAUGGGCGAAAGCCUGAUCCAGCAAUGCCGCGUGAGUGAAGAAGGCCUUCGGGUUGUAAAGCUCUUUUGUCAGGGAAGAAACGGUGAGAGCUAAUAUCUUUUGCUAAUGACGGUACCUGAAGAAUAAGCACCGGCUAACUACGUGCCAGCAGCCGCGGUAAUACGUAGGGUGCAAGCGUUAAUCGGAAUUACUGGGCGUAAAGCGUGCGCAGGCGGUUUUGUAAGUCUGAUGUGAAAUCCCCGGGCUCAACCUGGGAAUUGCAUUGGAGACUGCAAGGCUAGAAUCUGGCAGAGGGGGGUAGAAUUCCACGUGUAGCAGUGAAAUGCGUAGAUAUGUGGAGGAACACCGAUGGCGAAGGCAGCCCCCUGGGUCAAGAUUGACGCUCAUGCACGAAAGCGUGGGGAGCAAACAGGAUUAGAAACCCGAGUAGUCCCAUGA
Molecule: ribosomal RNA, 477 nt
Filed under: uncultured organism
Description: partial 16S ribosomal RNA
Rfam family: Bacterial small subunit ribosomal RNA
Source: RNAcentral